RNAcentral lists this ribosomal RNA (457 nucleotides) under uncultured bacterium. RNAcentral's name for it is "partial 16S ribosomal RNA". It matches the Rfam family "Bacterial small subunit ribosomal RNA", at positions 338 to 795 of the family's 1533-position model. The record is from RNAcentral.
CCUACGGGCGACAGCAGUGGGGAAUAUUGCACAAUGGGGGAAACCCUGAUGCAGCGACGCCGCGUGAGUGAAGAAGUAUUUCGGUACGUAAAGCUCUAUCAGCAGGGAAGAAAAAAAGUCCUUUGGACUUUGGACGGUACCUGACCAAGAAGCCACGGCUAACUACGUGCCAGCAGCCGCGGUAAUACGUAGGGGGCAAGCGUUAUCCGGAUUUACUGGGUGUAAAGGGAGUGUAGACGGCAGCGCAAGUCGGGAGUGAAAUGCUGGGGCCUAACCCCGGAACUGCUUUGGAAACUGUGCAGCUGGAGUACAGGAGAGGUAAGCUGAAUUCCUAGUGUAGCGGUGAAAUGCGUAGAGAUUAGGAGGAACACCAGUGGCGAAGGCGGCUUACUAGACUAUAACUGACGUUGAUGCUCGAAAGCGUGGGGAGCAAACAGGAUUAGAUACCCGAGUAGUC